AUCUCUUUGUUAACCAAUAAAGUAAAUAUUUUUAAACUCAAUGUGGCUUGUUCUGUAGCAGAUUUAAAUCAGAUGAUUGUUUUUUCUUACUUUCCCCAAAUUCCUAUUCAAUAAACAUUUUACUCUUCCUAGGAGAAUGAGAUUCUGUUGAUGUAAUGGUAUUUUUUUCAAACAAGUAAACAGAUAGAGAUAUGAAAAAAACAUCCCUUCUAUUGCUUCUGAUGUCUCAUCUAAGGAAAGUACGUGGAAGUUUAUUGGUAGCAAGGUACUACAACAAUUAAUGUCAUGAAAGAGAUGAAGUCAAUUUACAUUUCCUGCAGAAGGAAGAGGAAAAAAGAAGAACGGCAUUGUCUGUGAAGCUGAGAGAAUUUGUGUUUUCCUGUGGGCAAGCACUUGUCUUACAGGAGGCAUUGAACAAAAUGCAGGAGCAGCUAUUGUCCCACCCUGCAACAACACAGCCCAACGCUGAAGCUAUCUGCAUACAUGAAAAUCUGACAGAAUUCUUCAUUUCAAGAAG
This 517-nucleotide long non-coding RNA is filed under the name Corvus moneduloides (New Caledonian crow). Its description in RNAcentral is "lncRNA (ENSCMUG00000017582.1)". Lineage: Eukaryota; Metazoa; Chordata; Aves; Passeriformes; Corvidae. The record is from RNAcentral.